AAACGUAGUACCUCUGUUCAAGCUCAUCAGGUGGCUCACGUUAACAGAUUUGAGGCUCUUAAGAAUUAGGAUGACUGAGCUGUCAGAGCCACAUGUCCAUUGUCUAGAUUGUUCUUUAUGUUGUGUAUAAAGUAGAGAACCCUAGAGUGGUAUCUCUCAAGCAAUCCAUGAACAUUUUCAGUAUAUCUUUCUAAAUUGAUUCUCUCUUCUAUCACCUUCUCUAUUUAACCUACAGGAACCACUAUCUUUUACCACUCUUCUGAACCAUUACAAACACCAAUUGGAUCCAACAAAGCUCGGUGGCAAUAUCUUGUAUUGGGGUUCAAGCCUUUUUGGGGUUUCAUAUUAUUAUACAAACUUUUAGACUUUGUUUGUGCAAUUACUUGUUUAAAGUAAAUCGAUAUGUUUGUGCAUUUAAUGAUAGCGGCUGCUAUCUAUAUUAUUACCGUUUGAAAAUAUGAAUAGCAGUAUAAAUGAUAAUUGUUUUUAAACAUGGAUAGCAGUAUAAAAAACAAGCAUAAGUUCUUUUUAACAUGGA
Molecule: long non-coding RNA, 538 nt
Filed under: Brassica napus (rape)
Lineage: Eukaryota; Viridiplantae; Streptophyta; Magnoliopsida; Brassicales; Brassicaceae
Description: long non-coding RNA (BNAP_LNC020442)
Source: RNAcentral